UGCGAUGUGGAUUAGAAGAAACUGAUGAACUUUUGGAACAUAGAUUUCUACAAGGUCUUAAUGUAGAAAUUCAGAACAUUCUUGUUGAUAAGUAUUAUAACACCUUUGAUGAAUUGUUUGAUCUUGCUUGUGAGUUAGAAAGGGAUCUCGCAAGUAUUAUAGAAGUACGUGUCUCUCCUAUUACUAACAAUUUGCAGCAACACGAAGACAACAUACACAUGGAAAGCGUGCAACUUGAGAUACUAGAUGAGUCAUUUAAAGAGAGCGUAAAUCUAGCUGCACCCAC
This 286-nucleotide long non-coding RNA is filed under the name Sorghum bicolor (sorghum). Its description in RNAcentral is "long non-coding RNA (SBIC_LNC008913)". Lineage: Eukaryota; Viridiplantae; Streptophyta; Magnoliopsida; Poales; Poaceae. The record is from RNAcentral.